AGCCUUAUAGUCAAAAUUAUGACAUCAAAUUGCAAAUUUGAAGGUGGAAUUUCCUAAGGCUU
RNAcentral lists this transfer RNA (62 nucleotides) under Serica sp. NS-2020. RNAcentral describes it as "tRNA-Cys". It matches the Rfam family "tRNA". Rfam says of the family: Transfer RNA (tRNA) molecules are approximately 80 nucleotides in length. Their secondary structure includes four short double-helical elements and three loops (D, anti-codon, and T loops). Further hydrogen bonds mediate the characteristic L-shaped molecular structure. tRNAs have two regions of fundamental functional importance: the anti-codon, which is responsible for specific mRNA codon recognition, and the 3' end, to which the tRNAs corresponding amino acid is attached (by aminoacyl-tRNA synthetases). tRNAs cope with the degeneracy of the genetic code in two manners: having more than one tRNA (with a specific anti-codon) for a particular amino acid; and 'wobble' base-pairing, i.e. permitting non-standard base-pairing at the 3rd anti-codon position. Lineage: Eukaryota; Metazoa; Arthropoda; Insecta; Coleoptera; Scarabaeidae. The record is from RNAcentral.